GAUGAACGCUGGCGGCGUGCCUAAUACAUGCAAGUCGAGCGAACAGACGAGGAGCUUGCUCCUCUGACGUUAGCGGCGGACGGGUGAGUAACACGUGGAUAACCUACCUAUAAGACUGGGAUAACUUCGGGAAACCGGAGCUAAUACCGGAUAAUCUAUUGAACCGCAUGGUUCAAUAGUGAAAGACGGUUUUGCUGGCACUUAUAGAUGGAUCCGCGCCGCAUGAGCUAGUUGGUAAGGUAACGGCUUACCAAGGCAACGAUGCGUAGCCGACCUGAGAGGGUGAUCGGCCACACUGGAACUGAGACACGGUCCAGACUCCUACGGGAGGCAGCAGUAGGGAAUCUUCCGCAAUGGGCGAAAGCCUGACGGAGCAACGCCGCGUGAGUGAUGAAGGUCUUCGGAUCGUAAAACUCUGUUAUUAGGGAAGAACAAAUGUGUAAGUAACUAUGCACGUCUUGACGGUACCUAAUCAGAAAGCCACGGCUAACUACGUG
RNAcentral lists this ribosomal RNA (497 nucleotides) under uncultured bacterium. Its description in RNAcentral is "partial 16S ribosomal RNA". It matches the Rfam family "Bacterial small subunit ribosomal RNA", at positions 28 to 507 of the family's 1533-position model. The record is from RNAcentral.